UUAAUGUUUCAGAAGCCACCGGCUCCUCACAGUCUCAGGAGACGACACCUGGCCGUAACCAUGGUGGAUUGAUAAUUGUGGCGUGUCUGUUCUGUUCUGUAGUUGUCUGCCUUUCUGUCAAUCUACUGGGAACUUAUUGGAACAGCACAAGGCGCUGAGUGGCAGUGGUCUUUGCACAUACAUGGUCGACAUGUUGAGAAGGCCCGCACCAUCUUAAGAGGGGGGAUGGAUGAGAAAGAGAAUUGGACAUAUAGGAUCAUGCUUCCAGAAAUGAAAGUGCUAUUCGG
Long non-coding RNA from Sardina pilchardus (European sardine), 287 nucleotides. RefSeq lists it as uncharacterized. The record is from RefSeq and is a predicted model, not a curated record. The transcript is spliced from 3 exons. Lineage: Eukaryota; Metazoa; Chordata; Actinopteri; Clupeiformes; Clupeidae.